Molecule: long non-coding RNA, 578 nt
Organism: Pistacia vera
Lineage: Eukaryota; Viridiplantae; Streptophyta; Magnoliopsida; Sapindales; Anacardiaceae
Exons: 2
Source: RefSeq, a predicted model, not a curated record
GAGAAAUCGUCUCACACUCACUCGUCACGCUCGUCUCACACUCACUGACUCUCAUCGCCGCUUCUCCAGUCUCCAUCGAUCGCCGCUUCUCCAGUGUCCACCGGCCGCCGCUUGCUCUGGUUGCCUCACGUAUUGAUAUUUUCUUUAAUGGAAUCAAUUAUGUCGAAUGACAUCAAGCCAUGAGGAGUUUCUUGAAAGGCCGCAAAUUAUGGCAUUAUAUUACUAGUGGUAUCAAAAAACCCGAAUAAAGGGAGCACGAAACUAAUGAAAAAUUUCAAGAUCACAUCGAGGAUUGGGACAGCAAAAACCAUCACUUGAUUACUUGGUUUUGUAAUACCUCUGUACCAAAUCUCCGUCAGGAAUUUGGUAACUAUGACCUAGCUAAAGAUGUUUGGGACUUCUCAGGCAGUCGUUAUGUUACUAGUGGACUUGUUUACCAACAUUAAUUUUGGAGCAUGCUUGAUAGUAUGAAGCAAGAAUUUGGACAGUCGGUUCGUGACUAUUAUGCUAAAAUGUCUUAUGUAUGAUGAUUUAUUUAUUUAUUUAAUUUUUAAGUUAAAUAAAUUUUGUUUUAUGUA